RNAcentral lists this long non-coding RNA (2070 nucleotides) under Marmota monax (woodchuck). The record is from RNAcentral. Lineage: Eukaryota; Metazoa; Chordata; Mammalia; Rodentia; Sciuridae.
UCCUGCGACUUCUGUGGGGGACUGGUGAAGGGGUUCAAUUCCAGCAGAUGCCUUUUUUGUCAAACACAAAGGCCCCUCAGGGAUUCUCUCUACUUUUCAGCACUUUCAUCUCCCUCAGAUCAAACUGCUGCUCUGCAUAUGAAAGACAUUGCCCAUUAUGAGGCUCACACCACCUCCACUAGCCUCCAACUCUCCCAGGCUUCCAAAGAAGGGCUUCCCAAUAACUUUUUAAAACACAUUAAAGAUGCCUCAUCCUGGCCUCUCCACCUUACCCAGGUAUCAGGCAGUGGGGAUGUUCUCAGGCUCAUUUUCUCCCUUACCAGUCACCAUUUAAAAUCCCUUCUCCCUUACCUGAAAGAGGACUAGUCUCUUAGAAUUGUCUAGAUCAGUCUCAAAGUAAGAUGGUAAUGAAAGUCCUGCUUCAGUCUUUGUCAUGCUGCCAUGCUUGAGAGCUAAAAUUUCCAUGCACUUCUUUGGACAAUUCUCAAUAAAAUUCUGGCAAAUCAAAUACAAAAACAUAUCAAAAAGAUCGUGCACCAUGAUCAAGUGGGAUUCAUUCCAGGGAUGCAAGGUUGGUUCAACAUACGGAAAUCAAUAAAUGUAAUUCAUCACAUCAGUAGAUUCAAAGAUAAGAAUCACAUACAUGAUCAUCUCAAUAGAUGCAGAAAAAUCAUUUGACAAAAUACAGCACCUUUACAUGUUCAAAACACUGAAAAACUAGGGAUAACAGGAAUAUAUCUCAACAUCAUAAAGGUUAUCUAUGCUAAGCCUCAGGCCAAAAUCAUUCUGAAUGGAGAAAAAUUAAAGGCAUUCCCUCUAAAGACUGAAACAAGACAGGGAUGCCCUCUUUCACCACUUCUAUUUAACAUAGUUCUUGAAACACUGGCCAGAGCAAUUAGAUGAAAGAAAUUAAAGGGAUUCAUAUAGGAAAAGAAGAACUUAAAUUAGCACUAUUUGCUGACGAUAUGAUUCUAUACCUAGAAGACUCAAAAAGCUCCACCAGAAAACUUCUAGAACUAGUAAAUGAAUUCAGCAAAGUAGCAGGAUAUAAAAUCAACAAUCAUAAAUCAAAGGCAUUUCUGUAUAUCAGUGACAAAUCCUCUGAGAAGGAAAUGACAAAAACUAUCCCAUUUACAAUAACCUCAAAAAAAAAUACUUUGGAAUCAACAAAAGAGGUGAAAGAUCUAUACAAUGAAAACUACAGAACCCUAAAGAAAGAAAUCAAAGAAGAUCUUAGAAGAUGGAAAGAAAUACCUUGCUCUUGGAUAGGCAGAAUUAAUAUUAUCAAAAUGACCAUACUACCAAAAGUAUUAUACAGAUUUAAUGCAAUUCUGAUCAAAAUCCCAAUGGCAUUCCUCAUAGAAAUAGAAAAAACAAUCAUGAAAUUUAUCUGGAAAAAUAAGAGACCCAAAAUAGCUAAAGCAAUCCUUAGCAGGAAGAGUAAAGCAGGUGACAUCACUAUACCAGACCUUAAGCUUAGAGAAAUAGUAACAAAAACAGCAUGCUAUUGGCACCAAAACAGACUGGUAGACCAAUGGUACAGAAUAGAGGACAUAGAGAGUAACCCACAAAAUUACAAUAAUCUUAUAUUAGACAAAGGUGCCAAAAACAUGCAUUAGAGAAAAGAUAGCCUCUUCAACAAAUGGUGCAGGGAAAACUGGAAAUCCAGAUGCAACAAAAUGAAAUUAAAUCCCUAUCUCUCACCACACACAAAACUCAACUCACAAUGGAUCAAGGACCUAGGAAUUAAACCGGAGACUCUGCAUCUAAUAGAAGAAAAAGUAGGCCCUAAUCUUCAUCAUGUGGGAUUAGGCCCCAACUUCCUUAAUAAGAUUCCUAUAGUGUAAGAAUUAAAACCAAGAAUCAAUAAAUGGGAUGGAUUCAAACUAAAAAGUUUCUUCUCAGCAAAAGAAACAAUCUAUGGGAGAGAGAGAACCUACAUCCUGGGAGCAAAUUUUUACCCCUCACACAUCAAAUAGAGCACUAAUCUCUAGGGUAUAUAAAGAACUCAAAAAGCUAAGCACCAAAAAAGCAAAUAACCUAAUCGAUAAAUGAGCCAGGGACCUGAAC